AUUGAACGCUGGUGGCAGGCCUAACACAUGCAAGUCGAACGAGUGGCGGACGGGUAAGAAAUGUCUGGGAAACUGCCCGAUGGAGGGGGAUAACUACGGGAAAAGGUAGCUAAUACCGCAUACAAUCGGAUGUGCCCCGAUGGGAUUAGCUAGUAGGUGGGGUAACGGCUAACCUAGGCGACGAGCCCUAGCUGGUCUGAGAGGAUGACCAGCCACACUGGAACUGAGACACGGUCCAGACUCCUACGGUAGGCAGCAGUGGGGAAUAUUGCACAAUGGUCGCAAGCCUGAUGCAGCCAUGCCGCGUGUAUGAAGAAGGCCUUCGGGUUGUAAAGUACUUUCAGCGAGGAGGCGUUACUCGCAGAAGAAGCACCGGCUAACUCCGUGCCAGCAGCCGCGGUAAUUC
Molecule: ribosomal RNA, 406 nt
Filed under: uncultured bacterium
Lineage: Bacteria
Description: partial 16S ribosomal RNA
Rfam family: Bacterial small subunit ribosomal RNA
Source: RNAcentral